Cornus florida is the source of this 106-nucleotide small nucleolar RNA. The record is from RefSeq and is a predicted model, not a curated record. Lineage: Eukaryota; Viridiplantae; Streptophyta; Magnoliopsida; Cornales; Cornaceae.
AUGUCAUGAUGUGGGCAUUUCCUAAGCAAAUCAUUAAACCUUUCCCAUGCCUCAUGAAACAUUUCCCCAUCCCCUUGAGAACUUGAGAAAAUUCACGAAUGGAAGU